UCCCUAUUACUAGGGCAGUCUGAAUAGAAAAAUACAACUAUUCACAAGGGUUGCGCUCGUUGAUGGACUUAACCAAACAUCUCACGACACGAGCUGACGACGGCCAUGCAACACCUGUCACUUGGCUCAAUAAAGCACUCACUGCUUUCACAGUAAUUCCAAGGAUGUCAAACCCUGGUAAGGUUCAUCGGUUAUCAUCGAAUUAAAGAACAUAAUCCACCGCUUGUGCUGAUCCCCGUCAAUUCCUUUAUGUUUUAGUCUUGCGACCGUACUCCACAGGCGGGAUACUUAACGCGUUAGCUUCGCUACUGAAGGGGUCGAUACCUCCAACAGCUAGUAUCCAUCGUUUACGGCGUGGACUAC
RNAcentral lists this unclassified non-coding RNA (363 nucleotides) under uncultured bacterium. RNAcentral's name for it is "contains 16S-23S intergenic spacer region". The record is from RNAcentral.